UGUCCUACGGGGGGCAGCAGUGGGGAAUAUUGGGCAAUGGGCGCAAGCCUGACCCAGCAACGCCGCGUGAAGGAAGAAGGCUUUCGGGUUGUAAACUUCUUUUGACAGGGAAGAGUAGAAGACGGUACCUGUCGAAUAAGCCACGGCUAACUACGUGCCAGCAGCCGCGGUAAUACGUAGGGGGCGAGCGUUAUCCGGAUUUACUGGGUGUAAAGGGAGCGUAGACGGUUCUGCAAGUCUGAAGUGAAAGCCCGUGGCUUAACCGCGGAACGGCUUUGGAAACUGUGGAACUGGAGUGCUGGAGA
RNAcentral lists this ribosomal RNA (305 nucleotides) under uncultured bacterium. RNAcentral's name for it is "bacterial SSU rRNA". It matches the Rfam family "Bacterial small subunit ribosomal RNA", at positions 335 to 655 of the family's 1533-position model. The record is from RNAcentral.